This 440-nucleotide ribosomal RNA is filed under the name Salmonella enterica subsp. enterica serovar Virchow. RNAcentral's name for it is "bacterial SSU rRNA". It matches the Rfam family "Bacterial small subunit ribosomal RNA", at positions 1093 to 1533 of the family's 1533-position model. Lineage: Bacteria; Pseudomonadati; Pseudomonadota; Gammaproteobacteria; Enterobacterales; Enterobacteriaceae. The record is from RNAcentral. RNAcentral also lists the same sequence under 1 other name.
CGAGCGCAACCCUUAUCCUUUGUUGCCAGCGAUUAGGUCGGGAACUCAAAGGAGACUGCCAGUGAUAAACUGGAGGAAGGUGGGGAUGACGUCAAGUCAUCAUGGCCCUUACGACCAGGGCUACACACGUGCUACAAUGGCGCAUACAAAGAGAAGCGACCUCGCGAGAGCAAGCGGACCUCAUAAAGUGCGUCGUAGUCCGGAUUGGAGUCUGCAACUCGACUCCAUGAAGUCGGAAUCGCUAGUAAUCGUGGAUCAGAAUGCCACGGUGAAUACGUUCCCGGGCCUUGUACACACCGCCCGUCACACCAUGGGAGUGGGUUGCAAAAGAAGUAGGUAGCUUAACCUUCGGGAGGGCGCUUACCACUUUGUGAUUCAUGACUGGGGUGAAGUCGUAACAAGGUAACCGUAGGGGAACCUGCGGUUGGAUCACCUCCUUA